GCUGGAUGUGGUGGCGCGUGCCUGUAGUUCCAGCUACUUGGGAGGCUGAGGCAGGAGGAUUGCUUGAGCCCAGGAGUUCUGGGAUGUAGUGUGCUAUGCUGAUCGGGUUUCUGCACUAAGUUGGGCAUCAGUAUGGUGACCUCCCAGGAGCAGGGGACCACUAGGUUGCCUAAGGAGGGAUGAAUCGGCCCAGGUCACAAAGCAGAUCAAAACUCCUGUGCUGAUCAGUAGUAAGAUCAAGCCUAUGAAUAGUCACUGAACUUCUGGCCUUGGCAACAUAGCAAGAUCCCAUCUCUA
RNAcentral lists this signal recognition particle RNA (297 nucleotides) under Pteropus alecto (black flying fox). Its description in RNAcentral is "Metazoan signal recognition particle RNA". It matches the Rfam family "Metazoan signal recognition particle RNA". From Rfam's summary of the family: The signal recognition particle (SRP) is a universally conserved ribonucleoprotein. It is involved in the co-translational targeting of proteins to membranes. The record is from Rfam by way of RNAcentral. Lineage: Eukaryota; Metazoa; Chordata; Mammalia; Chiroptera; Pteropodidae.